This 496-nucleotide ribosomal RNA is filed under the name uncultured bacterium. RNAcentral's name for it is "partial 16S ribosomal RNA". It matches the Rfam family "Bacterial small subunit ribosomal RNA", at positions 28 to 507 of the family's 1533-position model. The record is from RNAcentral.
GAUGAACGCUGGCGGCGUGCCUAAUACAUGCAAGUCGAGCGAACAGACGAGGAGCUUGCUCCUCUGACGUUAGCGGCGGACGGGUGAGUAACACGUGGAUAACCUACCUAUAAGACUGGGAUAACUUCGGGAAACGGAGCUAAUACCGGAUAAUAUAUUGAACCGCAUGGUUCAAUAGUGAAAGACGGGUUUGCUGUCACUUAUAGAUGGAUCCGCGCCGCAUUAGCUAGUUGGUAAGGUAACGGCUUACCAAGGCAACGAUGCGUAGCCGACCUGAGAGGGUGAUCGGCCACACUGGAACUGAGACACGGUCCAGACUCCUACGGGAGGCAGCAGUAGGGAAUCUUCCGCAAUGGGCGAAAGCCUGACGGAGCAACGCCGCGUGAGUGAUGAAGGUCUUCGGAUCGUAAAACUCUGUUAUUAGGGAAGAACAAAUGUGUAAGUAACUAUGCACGUCUUGACGGUACCUAAUCAGAAAGCCACGGCUAACUACGUG